RNAcentral lists this long non-coding RNA (472 nucleotides) under Physcomitrium patens. Its description in RNAcentral is "long non-coding RNA (PPAT_LNC009054)". Lineage: Eukaryota; Viridiplantae; Streptophyta; Bryopsida; Funariales; Funariaceae. The record is from RNAcentral.
AAAGAAUUUCAAAGAAAUCCUAAAGAAAUAUUAGAAUAAUCAUCAAUAUAUCUUAAAUAAAUCUCAAUAAAAUCUUAAUUUAAUAUAAAUUAAAAUCCUAAUGGACUUCAAUCAAACCCUAAGCCAAAACUUAAAUUUUAAAUAAAUUCUAAAUCCUAAACCAAAUCCUAGAUAAAUUUUAAAGCCUAAAUCAAAUUUUAGAAAAAUCCUAAAUUUUAAAUCAAAUCCUAGAAAAAUCCUAAAUCCUAAACCAAAUUCUAAACAAAUCCUAAACCUCAAUUCAAAUCCUAGACAAAUACUAAAUCCUAAACUAAAUUCUAGCCAAAUCUGAAACCAAUUCCUAGAUAAAUUCUAAAUCUUAACUAAAAUCUUAGAUAAAUCAUAAAUUCUAAAUUAAAUCCUAAAAAAAUUCUAAAUCCUAAACCAAAUCUUAAAAAAAUUCUAAAUCCUAAACCAAACUCUAAACAAAUCU